Molecule: ribosomal RNA, 497 nt
Filed under: uncultured bacterium
Lineage: Bacteria
Description: partial 16S ribosomal RNA
Rfam family: Bacterial small subunit ribosomal RNA
Source: RNAcentral
GACGAACGCUGGCGGCGUGCCUAAUACAUGCAAGUAGAACGCUGAAGAGAGGAGCUUGCUCUUCUUGGAUGAGUUGCGAACGGGUGAGUAACGCGUAGGUAACCUGCCUUGUAGCGGGGGAUAACUAUUGGAAACGAUAGCUAAUACCGCAUAACAAUGGAUGACACAUGUCAUUUAUUUGAAAGGGGCAAUUGCUCCACUACAAGAUGGACCUGCGUUGUAUUAGCUAGUAGGUGAGGUAAUGGCUCACCUAGGCGACGAUACAUAGCCGACCUGAGAGGGUGAUCAGCCACACUGGGACUGAGACACGGCCCAGACUCCUACGGGAGGCAGCAGUAGGGAAUCUUCGGCAAUGGGGGCAACCCUGACCGAGCAACGCCGCGUGAGUGAAGAAGGUUUUCGGAUCGUAAAGCUCUGUUGUAAGUCAAGAACGGGUGUGAGAGUGGAAAGUUCACACUGUGACGGUAGCUUACCAGAAAGGGACGGCUAACUACGUG